UGCCAGCCGCCGCGGUAAUACGGAGGGGGCUAGCGUUGUUCGGAAUUACUGGGCGUAAAGCGUACGUAGGCGGAUUAGUAAGUUAGAGGUGAAAUCCCAGGGCUCAACCCUGGAACUGCCUUUAAAACUACUAGUCUAGAGUUCGAGAGAGGUGAGCGGAAUUCCGAGUGUAGAGGUGAAAUUCGUAGAUAUUCGGAGGAACACCAGUGGCGAAGGCGGCUCACUAACACUAUAUUGACGCUGAGGGACGAAAGCGUGGGGAGCGAACAGGAUUAGAUA
RNAcentral lists this ribosomal RNA (279 nucleotides) under uncultured bacterium. RNAcentral's name for it is "partial 16S ribosomal RNA". It matches the Rfam family "Bacterial small subunit ribosomal RNA", at positions 506 to 784 of the family's 1533-position model. The record is from RNAcentral.